AAGGAAAGCUAAACAAAAGGCAGCAAAGCCCUCCGGCCUGCAGUUCUGAGGAAGAGGCGGGUGGAUUGGAUGAUUUUAAGUAUCAACAUUGGAAGGUGUUCAAGAGAAGUACAUAGCAACCUGGUAGUGAUUUUAUAGAAGAGAUUAAACAUUAGAUUGGAAGUGGAUUAAGCAAAAACCUCCCGCUUCACUACGGGCAAUUUCCAUGUCAUCAAAGAAGUGUCUUAAUAUACUAUGAUCUUGUUGUGUAAAAUGUGCUUAUAUUUAUCUGACCAUAUUAAGAACUUCAUUGAAAAUAUUUCAGAUGUCGUUGUUGAAGACCUUUUCAUUCUCUAGAUUAGAACAGAGAAACCCAAAGUCCUUUGUGCAGCACAUCAACAAAAAACUUUAAAUCGGAUUAGUAAUGGGGUUAAAUGAAUGAUGCAAUGUGUUUGGAAAAGGAAAAAUAAAAAACCACAAACCAGCUCUCAUCGAUUUCUUGCUUUAAUUCCGAGGCUACGACACUGCCGACGUGAUUGAGCAAACUUUUCCU
Molecule: non-coding RNA, 532 nt
Organism: Vicugna pacos (alpaca)
Lineage: Eukaryota; Metazoa; Chordata; Mammalia; Artiodactyla; Camelidae
Source: RefSeq, a predicted model, not a curated record